UACGAGGGGGGCGAGCGUUGUUCGGAAUUAUUGGGCGUAAAGGGCGCGUAGGCGGUCGGAUAAGUCUUGUGUGAAAUCUUCGGGCUCAACUCGAAGUCUGCACAGGAAACUACUCGUGGCUUGAGGUGUGGGAGAGGUGAAGUGGAAUUCCUGGUGUAGCGGUGAAAUGCGUAGAUAUCAGGAGGAACACCUGUGGCGAAAGCGGCUCACUGGACCACAACUGACGCUGAGGCGCGAAAGCUAGGGGAGCAAACAGG
RNAcentral lists this ribosomal RNA (257 nucleotides) under uncultured bacterium. RNAcentral describes it as "partial 16S ribosomal RNA". It matches the Rfam family "Bacterial small subunit ribosomal RNA", at positions 524 to 776 of the family's 1533-position model. The record is from RNAcentral.